GCGUGAGUGAAGAAGGCCUUAGGGUUGUAAUACUCUUUCGCCGGUGAAGAUAAUGACGGUAGCCGGAGAAGAAGCCCCGGCUAACUUCGUGCCAGCAGCCGCGGUAAUACGAAGGGGGCUAGCGUUGUUCGGAAUUACUGGGCGUAAAGCGCACGUAGGCGGAUUGGAUAGUUGGAGGUGAAAUCCCAGGGCUCAACCCUGGAACUGCCUACAAAACUUCCAGUCUGGAGGUCAGGAGAGGCGAGCGGAAUACCGAGUGUAGAGGUGAAAUUCGU
RNAcentral lists this ribosomal RNA (275 nucleotides) under uncultured bacterium. Its description in RNAcentral is "partial 16S ribosomal RNA". It matches the Rfam family "Bacterial small subunit ribosomal RNA", at positions 399 to 691 of the family's 1533-position model. The record is from RNAcentral.